UGGGGAAUCUUGGACAAUGGGGGCAACCCUGAUCCAGCCAUGCCGCGUGAGUGAUGAAGGCCUUAGGGUCGUAAAGCUCUUUCGCCUGUGAAGAUAAUGACGGUAGCAGGUAAAGAAACCCCGGCUAACUCCGUGCCAGCAGCCGCGGUAAUACGGAGGGGGUUAGCGUUGUUCGGAAUUACUGGGCGUAAAGCGCACGUAGGCGGACCAGAAAGUUGGGGGUGAAAUCCCGGGGGCUCAACCCCGGAACUGCCUCCAAAACUAUUGGUCUAGAGUUCGAGAGAGGUGAGUGGAAUUCCAAGUGUAGAGGUGAAAUUCGUAGAUAUUCGGAGGAACACCAGUGGCGAAGGCGGCUCGCUGGCCAGAUACUGACGCUGAGGUGCGAAAGCGUGGGGAGCAAACAGGAUUAGGAUACCCUGGUAGUCCACGCCGUAAA
Molecule: ribosomal RNA, 436 nt
Filed under: uncultured bacterium
Lineage: Bacteria
Description: bacterial SSU rRNA
Rfam family: Bacterial small subunit ribosomal RNA
Source: RNAcentral